RNAcentral lists this ribosomal RNA (301 nucleotides) under uncultured bacterium. RNAcentral's name for it is "partial 16S ribosomal RNA". It matches the Rfam family "Bacterial small subunit ribosomal RNA", at positions 509 to 809 of the family's 1533-position model. The record is from RNAcentral.
CAGUAGCCACGGUAAUACGAAGGUCCCGAGCGUUGUUCGGAAUCACUGGGCGUAAAGGGAGCGUAGGCGGCGUGGUAAGUCAGAUGUGAAAUCCCGGGGCUCAACCCCGGAACUGCAUCCGAUACUGCCAUGCUAGAGGAUUGGAGAGGUAGCUGGAAUUCUUGGUGUAGCAGUGAAAUGCGUGGAGAUCAAGAGGAACACUCGUGGCGAAAGCGAGCUACUGGACAAUAACUGACGCUGAGGCUCGAAGGCCAGGGUAGCGAAAGGGAUUAGAUACCCGCGUAGUCCCUGUCUCUUAUAA